RNAcentral lists this transfer RNA (89 nucleotides) under Ignavibacteriales bacterium. Its description in RNAcentral is "tRNA-Ser". It matches the Rfam family "tRNA". From Rfam's summary of the family: Transfer RNA (tRNA) molecules are approximately 80 nucleotides in length. Their secondary structure includes four short double-helical elements and three loops (D, anti-codon, and T loops). Further hydrogen bonds mediate the characteristic L-shaped molecular structure. tRNAs have two regions of fundamental functional importance: the anti-codon, which is responsible for specific mRNA codon recognition, and the 3' end, to which the tRNAs corresponding amino acid is attached (by aminoacyl-tRNA synthetases). tRNAs cope with the degeneracy of the genetic code in two manners: having more than one tRNA (with a specific anti-codon) for a particular amino acid; and 'wobble' base-pairing, i.e. permitting non-standard base-pairing at the 3rd anti-codon position. RNAcentral also lists the same sequence under 2 other names. Lineage: Bacteria; Pseudomonadati; Ignavibacteriota; Ignavibacteria; Ignavibacteriales. The record is from RNAcentral.
GGAAGGAUGGGUGAGUGGCUGAAACCAACGGUUUGCUAAACCGUCAUACUCUGUAAAGGGUAUCCCGGGUUCGAAUCCCGGUCCUUCCG